CCAAGGAGUCUAACAUGUUCGCGAGUCAUUGGGACCGCAAAACCUAAAGGCGAAAUGAAAGUGAAGGUCGACCUUGCGUCGACUGAGGGAGGAUGGGUUGCGUCACGAUGCAGCCCCGCACUCCCGGGGCGUCUCGUACUCAUUGCGAGUAGAGGCGCACCCAGAGCGUACACGUUGGGACCCGAAAGAUGGUGAACUAUGCCUGGCCAGGACGAAGUCAGGGGAAACCCUGAUGGAGGUCCGUAGCGAUUCUGACGUGCAAAUCGAUCGUAGGAGCUGGGUAUAGGGGCGAAAGACUAAUCGAACCAUCUAGUAGCUGGUUCCCUCCGAAGUUUCCCUCAGGAUAGCUGGCACUCGCGUGAAGCGAGUCUCAUCUGGUAAAGCGAAUGAUUAGAGGCCUUGGGGCCGAAACGACCUCAACCUAUUCUCAAACUUUAAAUGGGUGAGAUCUCUGGCUUGCUUGAACAGUGAAGCCACGAGAUUUUUCGGAUCAGAGUGCCAAGUGGGCCAAUUUU
Molecule: ribosomal RNA, 515 nt
Filed under: Dryocosmus cerriphilus
Lineage: Eukaryota; Metazoa; Arthropoda; Insecta; Hymenoptera; Cynipidae
Description: eukaryotic LSU rRNA
Rfam family: Eukaryotic large subunit ribosomal RNA
Source: RNAcentral